UGGCGGCGUGCCUAACACAUGCAAGUCGAACGAGAAAGUGGAGCAAUCCAUGAGUACAGUGGCGUACGGGUGAGUAACACGUGACUAACCUACCCUCGAGUGGGGAAUAACUUCGGGAAACCGAGGCUAAUACCGCAUAAUGUCUGACCAAAUGCGUAAGCAGCUUGAGGAGGGGGUCGCGGCUGAUUAGCUUGUUGGCGGGGUAACGGCCCACCAAGGCAAUGAUCAGUAGCCGGCCUGAGAGGGCGCACGGCCACACUGGAACUGAAACACGGUCCAGACUCCUACGGGAGGCAGCAGUUGGGAAUUUUGCGCAAUGGGGGAAACCCUGACGCAGCAACGCCGCGUGGAGGAUGAAGCCCCUUGGGGUGUAAACUCCUUUCGAUCGGGACGAUUAUGACGGUACCGGAUGAAGAAGCACCGGCUAACUCUGUGCCAGCAGCCGCGGUAAUACAGAGGGUGCAAGCGUUGUUCGGAAUUAUUGGGCGUAAAGGGUGCGUAGGCGGUGCGGUAAGUCUUCUGUGAAACCUCCGGGCUUAACUCGGAGCCUGCAGGGGAAACUGCCGUGCUGGAGUAUGGGAGAGGUGAGUGGAAUUCCCGGUGUAGCGGUGAAAUGCGUAAAUAUCGGGAGGAACACCUGUGGCGAAAGCGGCUCACUGGACCAUUACUGACGCUGAUGCACGAAAAGCUAGGGGAGCAAACAGGAUUAGAUACCCUGGUAGUCCUAGCCCUAAACUAUGAUCGCUUGGUGUGACAGGUACCCAAUCCUGUGCUGCCGAGCUACCGCUU
Molecule: ribosomal RNA, 789 nt
Filed under: uncultured Acidobacteriota bacterium
Lineage: Bacteria; Pseudomonadati; Acidobacteriota
Description: bacterial SSU rRNA
Rfam family: Bacterial small subunit ribosomal RNA
Source: RNAcentral